Neofelis nebulosa (Clouded leopard) is the source of this 1037-nucleotide long non-coding RNA. RefSeq lists it as uncharacterized. The transcript has 2 exons. Lineage: Eukaryota; Metazoa; Chordata; Mammalia; Carnivora; Felidae. The record is from RefSeq and is a predicted model, not a curated record.
CAAAUACUUGAGCGCCAUUUAGAGAGGAGACGAACUCAAACUUGGACCUACGAUUGGCAACAACAAAAGGACAAAAAGAUGUGUUUUGAAAAAGUAGCUAUUUCCUCAGAACAUUCCACAGUGUGAAUAACUAUAUUUAGAGUUAUUCCAUUGGUCCCUAAGGGCCGAUUGCCCAGGCCUCAAGAAAAGCCAAGGCCGGAAGAUACUCGGCUAAACUGUGUGCAGCUCUAGUGCGACCCCUGGCAUUCACAUACCCCACCCUGUCCUGCUUCGGGGGCAGAGGGAGCGCGAGUCUUCCUCCUUCUACGUCUUCAGUGGGCUUGAGUUCUUGCUACCAUCACAUAUGCACGGGACAACACCCGUCACCAGCAGAUUGCUAGCUUUACUGAGAGAACCAUCCAGAGCUUCCAACUACAUGAAGGUCAAGCGUACAGCUUGUGUACACUGAACAGCACUGUGCAGCUGGGUUUUUCCAGAAGAAUUAAAAGUAUUUUUAGUGGUGCUGGUGAGAGUCGGAGGAGGAGGUUAUAAAGGUCACGAGAGAGGAGGAGCAGCGGGCUGGCGGAGCGCCCAAAACGGGAGAGGAGACUCGAGUGCUAGGCUAAGGCACCUCUGAUCUCAUUUUUCCUCGCCUGUCAAAGGAGAUAAAAAAAAAAAAAUGCCUAUUCUGCCCACCUCUAAGGGAGAAGGGAGUAAGAUAAUUGGUAAAACAUUGUUUUGGAAAAUAAGCAACACUACUUAUAGAAGUAGCAAAGUGUAAUUUAUGCUGUGCCCUAGACCAUUGACAGGGACCCAUAUUCAAGCUAUCCAGGUGCAAAAGCACAUUUUGGAAGUCACCAAGUUAGUGCCAAUAAAACCUAAGAACAGAAAAAUACCUAAAAGCACCUGUGUUUUGGAUAGAAAAGCUUAAGAUUCAGAACAAGAGUUGGACAGCCCAAGAAUAGAAGAGCCCUCUCACCCGUUAGAACGGUUGGGUAGCAGCUUCUGGUUAGGGAACAGAAACACAGAGGCUCCAAAUAAAACUUUUUCAGAAAUCA